CCCAUUUUCUACAAGUUGAUAUGAUUCUUUAGGGGUCAUAAUGAAAAGUCUAUACCAUACUUUGGUUAACAUUUCUCAAUGGUAGUG
Sinocyclocheilus rhinocerous is the source of this 87-nucleotide long non-coding RNA. RefSeq lists it as uncharacterized. The record is from RefSeq and is a predicted model, not a curated record. The transcript has 2 exons. Lineage: Eukaryota; Metazoa; Chordata; Actinopteri; Cypriniformes; Cyprinidae.